Molecule: ribosomal RNA, 433 nt
Filed under: uncultured bacterium
Lineage: Bacteria
Description: partial 16S ribosomal RNA
Rfam family: Bacterial small subunit ribosomal RNA
Source: RNAcentral
AACGAACGCUGGCGGCAUGCCUAACACAUGCAAGUCGAACGAGACCUUCGGGUCUAGUGGCGCACGGGUGCGUAACGCGUGGGAACCUGCCCUUAGGUUCGGAAUAACUCCCCGAAAGGGGUGCUAAUACCGGAUAAUGUCUCCGGACCAAAGAUUUAUCGCCCUUGGAUGGGCCCGCGUUGGAUUAGCUGGUUGGUACGGUAAAAGCCUACCAAGGCGACGAUCCAUAGCUGGUCUGAGAGGAUGAUCAGCCACACUGGGACUGGGACACGGCCCAGACUCCUACGGGAGGCAGCAGUGGGGAAUAUUGGACAAUGGGCGAAAGCCUGAUCCAGCAAUGCCGCAUGAGUGAUGAGGGCCUUAGGGUUGUAAAGCUCUUUUACCCGGGAUGAUAAUGACAGUACCGGGAGAAUAAGCUCCGGCUAACUCCGUG